GAUGAACGCUGGCGGCGUGCCUAACACACGCAAGUCGAACGAAGCACCUUACCUGAUUCUUCGGAUGAAAGUUUGGUGACUGAGUGGCGGACGGGUGAGUAACGCGUGGGUAACCUGCCCUGUACAGGGGGAUAACAGCUGGAAACGGCUGCUAAUACCGCAUAAGCGCACGAGGAGACAUCUCCUUGUGUGAAAAACUCCGGUGGUACAGGAUGGGCCCGCGUCUGAUUAGCUGGUUGGCAGGGUAACGGCCUACCAAGGCAACGAUCAGUAGCCGGUCUGAGAGGAUGAACGGCCACAUUGGAACUGAGACACGGUCCAAACUCCUACGGGAGGCAGCAGUGGGGAAUAUUGCACAAUGGGGGAAACCCUGAUGCAGCAACGCCGCGUGAGUGAAGAAGUAUUUCGGUAUGUAAAGCUCUAUCAGCAGGGAAGAUAAUGACGGUACCUGACUAAGAAGCUCCGGCUAAAUACGUG
Molecule: ribosomal RNA, 477 nt
Filed under: uncultured bacterium
Lineage: Bacteria
Description: partial 16S ribosomal RNA
Rfam family: Bacterial small subunit ribosomal RNA
Source: RNAcentral